CGCCUGUCAGACAAACACAACUCUGAGGCGUGUCCCUAGCCUUGGAGAUUCUUUUAUCCUGUAGCCCUGGGGCAUAACUCCCCCAGUGAGCAUGUUCCUGGUCAAAAUAAAUAAUGUCAUUUUCUGAGGACGUUUUCUACAAGCUUCGUUAGAAAUGAGACUUCAGCUUUUCAGUGACUAUGAAGCUAGGGAGAUCCCAGCUGGGACGAGGACGUAGGAUCUAACUGUCCCCCGAGCCCUUCGACCCUCCCCUGAAGCUCCCAAAUAAAAUGGUUAAAGGUUUGAUCCCCAGCCCCCUGCAAAAAAAAAAAGAAAGAAAGUAAAAACGAAUUGUACCUUCACUCCUGAAACUCUCACUGCUUCUCAUUUGUACUGAAACUCUGGUGCCAGUUUGUACAUUUCUCAUAAACUUAAUCUGCAAAAUUAUUUCACCGGGAAUAUAACAGAAAAGCGUAUACUCCUGGGUGAUUCGUGCCAACCUAAUCCAAUAAUUGAGGGCAACCAGAUUGGUUACUGUCUCUUUUGGUUUCCAUUUCUAUAGGAAAUUUCCCCUCAAGACUUCUGACGCUGAAAAACUUAAUUACUCAACUGAAAAUGCCACUCACUUGUUUUCUUUGGUUUCAAAUUGCCUCCUUUCUAUCAAGUUGGCUACGCUCUGAGGGGAGAGAAAACAAGAAAUGCACAGAGUUCUACUGAAGUAGCUCAGGGUAUAUAUACCACAUGGCUCUGCAGAUAGUGAGGAUCCAAUAGAUGCCACUGAUGGAUUUAAUCUAUAAUAAAGUUAAAGCUCGAGGAAAGGGGCUUACAACUAAAGAAGAAAGGGUGUUUCUUUUGCAAAACAAGACGGAAUAUUCUGGCACAGCGAGACCCAAAUCUGGAAAGGAAUGAAGAAAGCAAAAGGCAUGCCAACACAGAUUAGCUUUAGCUCUUAGUCACAGAUGGUGGUUGUUCGGUUUCCAAGUGUGGAGCCAGGACCAGAAAGGAACGGUGCUGAGACAAUUCUCUCAUAACUCCACAAUUUGACGAUGGUACAGCUGAUCAUAGGAGAGCCACAAACUGCUGACUCACUUAAAUGCUUCAGCUCCUGCAUCUGUCAGGCUGCCUGACUGAAAGGAAAUAACCACCGGUAAGGAUACUGAUGACAUACAUUCCUCCACCGCUGUCGCCAGACUUUCCAACAAACUCUAGCUAUUAAAAAAAAAAAAAAAGGGAGCACGUGUCAUCCGAAUGGCAACAAGUCCAGUGAUUCUGUUUCCAACAGAGCAAAUCUGUCCAAGAGUAUGGAGCAGGUAGCCCUAUCAGAUGACGGUAGAGAAACUGUCUGAGCUGGCUAGAUAGAGAAUGAGGCUACAGAAGAAUGAUACUAGGUGUCAGUGGCAGAAGUAAAUCAUAAAUACAACAGAAAAAAAGAAAAAAGAAAAAAACAGACUUACUGGAUCAUCUGCCAGCAGAGUGAGAUACUGAUCAAGAACCUGCUUAGAGAUGUUAUAGCCAACAGGUAGGGACCUGAAGAUCUAUGGAACAAGAGAGACAGGGACAAUGGGUUUGGGAACUUAGAUUUGCUGACGUUGCUGAAAUAAAGAUGUUUUAUUAUACA
This is a non-coding RNA of Vicugna pacos (alpaca), 1597 nucleotides long. The record is from RefSeq and is a predicted model, not a curated record. NCBI's taxonomy places the organism in Eukaryota, Metazoa, Chordata, Mammalia, Artiodactyla, Camelidae.